UGGGGAAUUUUGGACAAUGGGGGCAACCCUGAUCCAGCAAUGCCGCGUGUGUGAAGAAGGCCUUCGGGUUGUAAAGCACUUUUGUCCGGAAAGAAAACGCCGUGGUUAAUACCCGUGGCGGAUGACGGUACCGGAAGAAUAAGCACCGGCUAACUACGUGCCAGCAGCCGCGGUAAUACGUAGGGUGCAAGCGUUAAUCGGAAUUACUGGGCGUAAAGCGUGCGCAGGCGGUCCGCUAAGACAGAUGUGAAAUCCCCGGGCUUAACCUGGGAACUGCAUUCGUGACUGCAAGGCUAGAGUAUGGCAGAGGGGGGUAGAAUUCCACGUGUAGCAGUGAAAUGCGUAGAGAUGUGGAGGAAUACCGAUGGCGAAGGCAGCCCCCUGGGCCAAUACUGACGCUCAUGCACGAAAGCGUGGGGAGCAAACAGGAUUAGAUACCCUGGUAGUCCACGCCCUAAACGAUGUCAACUAGUUGUUGGGGAUUCAUUUCCUUAGUAACGUAGCUAACGCGUGAAGUUGACCGCCUGGGGAGUACGGUCGCAAGAUUAAAACUCAAAGGAAUUGACGGGGUCAUAGCUGUUUCCU
RNAcentral lists this ribosomal RNA (585 nucleotides) under uncultured bacterium. RNAcentral's name for it is "partial 16S ribosomal RNA". It matches the Rfam family "Bacterial small subunit ribosomal RNA", at positions 355 to 1375 of the family's 1533-position model. The record is from RNAcentral.